UCAGGAUGAACGCUAGCUACAGGCUUAACACAUGCAAGUCGAGGGGCAGCGGGAUUGAAGCUUGCUUCAAUUGCCGGCGACCGGCGCACGGGUGAGUAACGCGUAUCCAACCUUCCGUACACUCAGGGAUAGCCUUUCGAAAGAAAGAUUAAUACCUGAUGGUAUGAUGAGAUUGCAUGAUAGCAUCAUUAAAGAUUUAUCGGUGUACGAUGGGGAUGCGUUCCAUUAGGUAGUAGGCGGGGUAACGGCCCACCUAGCCAACGAUGGAUAGGGGUUCUGAGAGGAAGGUCCCCCACAUUGGAACUGAGACACGGUCCAAACUCCUACGGGAGGCAGCAGUGAGGAAUAUUGGUCAAUGGGCGAGAGCCUGAACCAGCCAAGUAGCGUGAAGGAUGACUGCCCUAUGGGUUGUAAACUUCUUUUAUAUAAGAAUAAAGUGCAGUAUGUAUACUGUUUUGUAUGUAUUAUAUGAAUAAGGAUCGGCUAACUCCGUGCCAGCAGCCGCGGUAAUACGGAGGAUCCGAGCGUUAUCCGGAUUUAUUGGGUUUAAAGGGAGCGUAGGCGGAUUGUUAAGUCAGUUGUGAAAGUUUGCGGCUCAACCGUAAAAUUGCAGUUGAUACUGGCAGUCUUGAGUGCAGUAGAGGUGGGCGGAAUUCGUGGUGUAGCGGUGAAAUGCUUAGAUAUCACGAAGAACUCCGAUUGCGAAGGCAGCUCACUGGACUGCAACUGACACUGAUGCUCGAAAGUGUGGGUAUCAAACAGGAUUAGAUACCCUGGUAGUCCACACAGUAAACGAUGAAUACUCGCUGUUUGCGAUAUACAGUAAGCGGCCAAGCGAAAGCAUUAAGUAUUCCACCUGGGGAGUACGCCGGCAACGGUGAAACUCAAAUGAACUGACGGA
RNAcentral lists this ribosomal RNA (901 nucleotides) under uncultured bacterium. RNAcentral describes it as "bacterial SSU rRNA". It matches the Rfam family "Bacterial small subunit ribosomal RNA", at positions 24 to 917 of the family's 1533-position model. The record is from RNAcentral.